GGGCGGUUGGCGCAGUGGUAGCGCACUUCCCUGACACGGAAGGGGUCACAAGUUCGAAUCUUGUAUCGCCCACG
This 74-nucleotide transfer RNA is filed under the name Bifidobacterium breve CECT 7263. RNAcentral's name for it is "tRNA-Val". It matches the Rfam family "tRNA". From Rfam's summary of the family: Transfer RNA (tRNA) molecules are approximately 80 nucleotides in length. The record is from RNAcentral. Lineage: Bacteria; Bacillati; Actinomycetota; Actinomycetes; Bifidobacteriales; Bifidobacteriaceae.